Molecule: ribosomal RNA, 253 nt
Filed under: uncultured bacterium
Lineage: Bacteria
Description: partial 16S ribosomal RNA
Rfam family: Bacterial small subunit ribosomal RNA
Source: RNAcentral
UACAGAGGGGGCAAGCGUUGUUCGGAAUUACUGGGCGUAAAGGGCGCGUAGGCGGCCUUCUAAGUCGAACGUGAAAUCCCCGGGCUCAACCCGGGAACUGCGUCCGAUACUGGAAGGCUUGAAUCCGGGAGAGGGAUGUGGAAUUCCAGGUGUAGCGGUGAAAUGCGUAGAUAUCUGGAGGAACACCGGUGGCGAAGGCGGCAUCCUGGACCGACACUGACGCUGAUGAGCGAAAGCCAGGGGAGCAAACGGG